Molecule: ribosomal RNA, 253 nt
Filed under: uncultured bacterium
Lineage: Bacteria
Description: partial 16S ribosomal RNA
Rfam family: Bacterial small subunit ribosomal RNA
Source: RNAcentral
UACGUAGGUGGCGAGCGUUGUCCGGAAUUAUUGGGCGUAAAGCGCGCGUAGGCGGGUUUGUUAGUCUGUUGUAAAAUCGCGGGGCUCAACCUCGGAAGGUCCAUGGAAACUGCUAUUCUUGAGUGCAGGAGAGGAGAGUGGAAUUCCCAGUGUAGCGGUGAAAUGCGUAGAUAUUGGGAGGAACACCAGUGGCGAAGGCGGCUUUCUGGACUGUGUCUGACGCUGAGGCGCGAAAGCCAGGGGAGCGAACGGG